AGAGUUUGAUCAUGGCUCAGAUUGAACGCUGGCGGUAUGCUUAACACAUGCAAGUCGAACGGUAACAGGCCUUCGGGCGCUGACGAGUGGCGGACGGGUGAGUAACGCGUAGGAAUCUGCCUCAUAGUGGGGGACAACUUGGGGAAACUCAAGCUAAUACCGCAUACGCCCUACGGGGGAAAGCGGGGGACCUUCGGGCCUCGCGCUAUGAGAUGAGCCUGCGUUAGAUUAGCUAGUUGGUGGGGUAAAGGCCUACCAAGGCGACGAUCUAUAGCUGGUCUGAGAGGACGAUCAGCCACACUGGGACUGAGACACGGCCCAGACUCCUACGGGGGGCAGCAGUGGGGAAUAUUGGACAAUGGGCGCAAGCCUGAUCCAGCAAUACCGCGUGUGUGAAGAAGGCCUGAGGGUUGUAAAGCACUUUCAAUUGGGAGGAAAACCUGUCGGUUAAUACCCGGCAGCUUGACAUUACCUUUAGAAGAAGCACCGGCUAACUCCGUGCCAGCAGCCGCGGUAAUACGGAGGGUGCGAGCGUUAAUCGGAAUUACUGGGCGUAAAGCGUGCGUAGGCGGUUGUCUAAGUCAGAUGUGAAAGCCCCGGGCUUAACCUGGGAACUGCAUUUGAUACUGGAUGACUAGAGUUUAAUAGAGGAGAGUGGAAUUUCAGGUGUAGCGGUGAAAUGCGUAGAGAUCUGAAGGAACACCAGUGGCGAAGGCGACUCUCUGGAUUAAAACUGACGCUGAGGUACGAAAGCGUGGGUAGCAAACAGGAUUAGAUACCCUGGUAGUCCACGCCGUAAACGAUGUCAGCUAGCCGUUGGGCCUUUUAACAGGCUUAGUGGCGCAGCUAACGCAUUAAGUUGACCGCCUGGGGAGUACGGCCGCAAAGGUUAAAACUUCAAAAUGAAUGACGGUUCUUGCGGAAAAACUCAAGCCCACCCGGGGAGCUGGCGG
This 953-nucleotide ribosomal RNA is filed under the name uncultured bacterium. Its description in RNAcentral is "bacterial SSU rRNA". It matches the Rfam family "Bacterial small subunit ribosomal RNA", at positions 8 to 1363 of the family's 1533-position model. The record is from RNAcentral.